UACAGAGGUCUCGAGCGUUGUUCGGAUUCAUUGGGCGUAAAGGGUGCGUAGGUGGCGCUGUAAGUCGGGUGUGAAAUCCUGAGGCUUAACCUCGGAACUGCAUUCGAUACUGCGGCGCUUGAGGACUGGAGAGGAGACUGGAAUUCAUGGUGUAGCAGUGAAAUGCGUAGAGAUCAUGAGGAAGACCAGUGGCGAAGGCGGGUCUCUGGACAGUUCCUGACACUGAGGCACGAAGGCCAGGGGAGCAAGCGGG
RNAcentral lists this ribosomal RNA (253 nucleotides) under uncultured bacterium. RNAcentral describes it as "partial 16S ribosomal RNA". It matches the Rfam family "Bacterial small subunit ribosomal RNA", at positions 524 to 776 of the family's 1533-position model. The record is from RNAcentral.